This is a non-coding RNA of Haemonchus contortus (barber pole worm), 74 nucleotides long. NCBI's taxonomy places the organism in Eukaryota, Metazoa, Nematoda, Chromadorea, Rhabditida, Trichostrongylidae. The record is from Rfam.
GGCCCAAAUUUGAAGUAGAGUCGAUUAGUACGAUCAUCUGACCAUACUAAUUACUCUACUUCAAGUUUGCGCGU